Molecule: ribosomal RNA, 468 nt
Filed under: uncultured bacterium
Lineage: Bacteria
Description: partial 16S ribosomal RNA
Rfam family: Bacterial small subunit ribosomal RNA
Source: RNAcentral
GACGAACGCUGGCGGCGUGCUUAACACAUGCAAGUCGAACGGAAAGGCCCUGCUUUUGUGGGGUGCUCGAGUGGCGAACGGGUGAGUAACACGUGAGUAACCUGCCCUUGACUUUGGGAUAACUUCAGGAAACUGGGGCUAAUACCGGAUAGGAGCUCCUGCUGCAUGGUGGGGGUUGGAAAGUUUCGGCGGUUGGGGAUGGACUCGCGGCUUAUCAGCUUGUUGGUGGGGUAGUGGCUUACCAAGGCUUUGACGGGUAGCCGGCCUGAGAGGGUGACCGGACACAUUGGGGCUGGGGUACGGCACAGCACCCUGCGGGGCGGAAGAGUGGGGAAUAAUGCACAAUGGGGGGGAGGCUGGUGCAGGCACGCCGCGUGCGGGAAGACGGGCUUCGGGUUGUAAACCGCUUUCGCCUGGGACGAAGGGUGAGUGACGGUAAUGGGUAAAGAAGCACCGGCUAACUACGUG